Gopherus flavomarginatus (Mexican gopher tortoise) is the source of this 1003-nucleotide long non-coding RNA. RefSeq lists it as uncharacterized. NCBI's taxonomy places the organism in Eukaryota, Metazoa, Chordata, Testudines, Testudinidae. The record is from RefSeq and is a predicted model, not a curated record. The transcript has 5 exons.
UAGCAUCCCUGCAACAGACUGGUUAUGCUUAAUUAUAUUUUCCCCUCCAACUCUUAAUUGAGAAAAUAAAACACUGGCCAAGCAAAUGAUCAUUAUUUUGUGAAACACAGCUCUUUGGAACUCAGAUUCUUUGUAUCAUCAGAUUUAAAGAUGAGAGCUGUCUAUUAGGUGACAUUGAAACAACUGGUUGCUGGAGAGUAGUAAUGCUUUUCUGGUAGAUAUAUAGCAUUUUAGUUUCCUGUGCAGAAUGAGUCAGUUUUAAUAUAGUAAUAAAAGAGGCUAGAGAUAAAGUAAGGUUCAUAUGAAUCUUUUCCCUGUUUUUCAGGUUGUUAUUAAGGAAAACCCUUGUUCUGUCCAUUAGGUGGUGCCCACUAUGCAUUUUUGCAUUUGUGGAGGAAAGAAAGAUUCUAGAGACUUAGAAGCAAACAAAAUCCAUCCUUGUUAACAUUACGAGAGGAGAAUAAAGCCAUUUCUUUAUUCUUGUCAUAUAGACUGUAAAGGAAGUGGAGUUCAAUGAUACUUAACUGACCUAGGUCUCACUCAGGUAACUCAGGAGGUGCUGAUGCAGAUGACUACUUCGAUGGAAGCUCAAAAGAUGGAGACCUGUGUUUUUGGAACCUAACAACUCUCAUGUCUGUACAGUCUUGUAAUCUGCUACCCUGUCUAUCAAAACAAUCAGAUUACUGUUUCCGCAUGGAGCUCAAACAUGAUGCAGAGGGAUGCCCUGGAGAAGGCCAGGCGGCUGAAUUGCUGGCAGAAACAUGCCCCUGAAACACAAAUCAAAUCCUUCAUUAAGAUCAUCCAGAUUACGGAGAACCAAAGCGAUAAGCACCCUCCUGAUUUUCUCCACUGCGCCAGCUCCAGGCAGUCCUCUCUAGGAUGCUGGUCUUUUGUUCUUGAGCACCUUUUCCUGGCUGAUUCACUAAGCUUCAUUGAUGGCAGGGAAUGGCUUCCUCAAGUUAAGAUGUCAAAGCAGUGGCCAGCUAGGGUGGCAGCCUGAAGU